Molecule: transfer RNA, 70 nt
Filed under: Ictidomys tridecemlineatus (thirteen-lined ground squirrel)
Lineage: Eukaryota; Metazoa; Chordata; Mammalia; Rodentia; Sciuridae
Description: Spermophilus tridecemlineatus (thirteen-lined ground squirrel) tRNA
Rfam family: tRNA
About the family: Transfer RNA (tRNA) molecules are approximately 80 nucleotides in length. Their secondary structure includes four short double-helical elements and three loops (D, anti-codon, and T loops).
Source: Rfam by way of RNAcentral
AGGGAUAUAGCUUAGUGGUAGAGUGCUUGCCUAGUAUGCAAGAGGCCCUGGGUUUGAUUUCUUGCACCUA